RNAcentral lists this transfer RNA (76 nucleotides) under Actinomycetes bacterium. Its description in RNAcentral is "tRNA-Lys". It matches the Rfam family "tRNA". Rfam says of the family: Transfer RNA (tRNA) molecules are approximately 80 nucleotides in length. Their secondary structure includes four short double-helical elements and three loops (D, anti-codon, and T loops). Further hydrogen bonds mediate the characteristic L-shaped molecular structure. tRNAs have two regions of fundamental functional importance: the anti-codon, which is responsible for specific mRNA codon recognition, and the 3' end, to which the tRNAs corresponding amino acid is attached (by aminoacyl-tRNA synthetases). tRNAs cope with the degeneracy of the genetic code in two manners: having more than one tRNA (with a specific anti-codon) for a particular amino acid; and 'wobble' base-pairing, i.e. permitting non-standard base-pairing at the 3rd anti-codon position. Lineage: Bacteria; Bacillati; Actinomycetota; Actinomycetes. RNAcentral also lists the same sequence under 3 other names. The record is from RNAcentral.
GGGCCGUUAGCUCAGUUGGUAGAGCAGCGGACUUUUAAUCCGCGGGUCCAGAGUUCGAGUCUCUGACGGCCCACCA